GAUGAACGCUGGCGGCGUGCCUAAUACAUGCAAGUCGAGCGAACAGACGAGGAGCUUGCUCCUCUGACGUUAGCGGCGGACGGGUGAGUAACACGUGGAUAACCUACCUAUAAGACUGGGAUAACUUCGGGAAACCGGAGCUAAUACCGGAUAAUAUAUUGAACCGCAUGGUUCAAUAGUGAAAGACGGUUUUGCUGUCACUUAUAGAUGGAUCCGCGCCGCAUUAGCUAGUUGGUAAGGUAACGGCUUACCAAGGCAACGAUGCGUAGCCGACCUGAGAGGAUGAUCAGUCACACUGGAACUGAGACAAGGUCCAGAGACCUACGGGAGGAAGCAGUGGGGAAUAUUGGAUAAUGGGCGAAAGCCUGAUCCAGCAAGGACGAGUGUGUGAAGAAGGUCUUCGGAUUGUAAAGCACUUUAAGUUGGGAGGAAGGGCAGUAAGUUAAUACCUUGCUGUUUUGACGUUACCAACAGAAUAAGCAACGGCUAACUUCGUG
RNAcentral lists this ribosomal RNA (497 nucleotides) under uncultured bacterium. RNAcentral describes it as "partial 16S ribosomal RNA". It matches the Rfam family "Bacterial small subunit ribosomal RNA", at positions 28 to 507 of the family's 1533-position model. The record is from RNAcentral.